GAAGGAGAAGACACGGGAUUGGGGGGAAAUGAAGGAAAUUUUGUGAAAAACAUGUUCAUUUGAGCAACAUCUAUGGCAUGUAAUUAACAAUUAAAGGCGGAAUCAUGCUUGUAUGCACUCAAAAACAAAACAUUACCCAUGAAAUUCAAAGCCUAGUAGAAAGGUGAACUAAGACUCAACUCAAGAACAAAGUGAGUUGAGAGAUUUUAUACCUUUGUUGAUUCCUCUUUGCAUAAGCAAAGGCUAAUCACCCAAGGAGAGGGCCUUCAUUCCUUGCUUCUUAGAUCCAUGGAUUUCUUGGAUGAGGAUGGUUGAAAGGAUUCUCCAAGUUCCCAAAAUUGAGAACCUCUAAUUUUUCCACACCAAGGAAGGACUUGAAGAAGAGAUGAGUGACCUAGAGGAAGUAAGAUUGCUAGCUAAAAUCCUCUAGGGUGGCCGGCCUCUUAGAGAGAAAGGGAGAGACAUUGUGUUCUCAUCUUUUCUCUAAAAGAAACCCUAAGGAUGAAAUGGCUAUAAAGUUGCCUUUAUACCACCUCACAAUAGAGUGGCAAACUUGCAAUUAAAGCAAGUUCACUACCCUUCUCUAUUUGGCCGGCCUUAAGGGUUUAUUGGGCUUUCAAGCCCUUUGUUUAUUCAAGUUGUCAUAUAAGUUGAGUUAAUGGGCUUGACAUUCAAAUCCCAUUGGGCCUUGCGGCCCAAAACUAACCCGAGGUCUUUAACGAACUUUAUUCAUUUGAUUAAUUAACAUAUUCAUUAAUCCUUGCCAUAAAUAAUUAAACCAUUUAAUUAUCCUUACUCAUCUCUGUUGUUUCUUCAAUCUCUACCUUACACGGUGUACGAUCCAUUAGGUUCCUUUUAGCGAGGCAGUGGCAAUUAGAACUCUUUCAAAUCGAUUGUGAAUUGAAACUUACUUUCAAUUCUCCCUUUAGUGAUUAUACACGUUUAGGGCUUCCACAAACCAUGAGUGACACCUAGCAGUAUGUCAUGGUUACCCAAACUAAUCAGAAGAGGUGGAGAACCUAUUCAAUUUAGGAUUACAAUGCAAUACGGUCUUUCUCUAAUACAAUACUCUUGACCACAUUGUUUGGUUUAAUAGUUUAUUCAUGUCUACUAUCCAAUGUGAUUCUCUUACUUAUAUGAUUACCUUGAAUGUGAUUUGGAAUGACUUCCUAAAUCUUAUUCAUACUCUGGCCAGAGAUUUUUAAUCAUAUCAUAGAGUAUUCUCCCUCAAACGGUUUAAAGGUUAGAGAUCCCUUGUUGCACAUUCACUUGCCUCCAUGGCUAAGUGGCUUAACCCCAACUAUGUCGUGGACACCUCUGAUAGAGUGACUUUGACAUAGUCAAAGAUCAAGGACUUAACCACAAGACAACUAUGAUGCCUCAGGUCAAAGGACUACUUUGCAUUAUCCCAAUCAUGAGUUCUCAUGUGACAUGAGUAUGAGAACUCCUCGUUGAUCGUGUUCAGUGGACUCAUUCUCUAUUGAGCACCUACAUGCUUGUCUUGGUGUCAAUCACACCAAUGACUUGAGACUAGUCACUCUCCAUGUGAGAAGACACAGCACGUACUGAUCUUAACGGAUUGUCAAUGCCCAAUUGGCAACCCUAUGAUCAGGAACGUUUAGGAUAUGUAUACGAAAGAGAAUGGUCUCAUGAAUCUAACUUCUUUAAAUUACAUUCUCCUAAUUACAUAUUCCUUGGACUUAUCGUUUAAUCAUAUAACAUUUAUAUGAGACAGCUUAAAAAGAAUAAUCUUUGCCCUCUAUAUUAAACUAGAUUAGUUUAACAUAUGAAAUGUCCGUAAAGUAUCAUCAUAUGAUUGGUUUUAGGGCACAUUUCCAACAAUCUCCCACUUGCACUAGAGUCAAUCAGCUUGGUCAUCAAUGAUGAUACCUCUUCUGUAGUCAUUUCAAAAAUGGGUGAGUAGUAGGCCUAGACAAUGGAUAUCUAUAUGUUAUCCAUAGAAGCAACCUUGAGAAUAACGACGUCACCAUUAUACAUGAUUCUCAAUCAUGUGGUUCAGUCUUUCAUUUAAGUUCGGAUCUUGAUGAGACCGUGAUUCCCUGGCUUGAGCUAUCGCCCUAUUAGUGUCGUAGUGUCGGUACACUAGAGACACUUUCUGGUUGGAACCGAAUAAAGAGUUCAUAAAUGAACUUUCCCAUCCAAACAACAUUGUUGUAAGCUUCUAUAUGGCAAUAUAUUUUGUAUUCAUAAUGGAACACACUAAAGUCAUUACUUUUAAUGUUUCCAUCCAAAUAUCUCUUUAGUCAUAAUAAAGAGAUAUCUGAUUAUCUUUUCAUUGAUAAUGAAGAAACAUCCAAUAAUGGAUUAGAUUCAUAAUCUAAUACAUUUACGCUUCCAUUACGUUACUCUAAUUCUUCCUCAUUCUUGAGGAAUCCAUCCUUUAUUAUUUCUCAAAUACUGAAGGAUUCAUUUGACAGUUGCCAUGGUUCUGAUCCUGGGCUUGCAUUGAUAUCGUCUUGUACCGAUCUUGGUACAACUCAUAUCAACGUUUUUCAUACAAUAUGAAAUACGUAAAUCACCUUUCUGCAUAUACAUAAAGGAUUCUAUUUACACAUUAUUUCUUUGGGAGUCAAAGGGUACGUUCCCUUUGAGAAGAGUUACCUCCUAGUCUUACUAGAGUUGUUCUUCUGAUUGAAGUUUAUCAUCAUAUGAGAAAAUUCCUAGCAACUUUUGUCUAUCAUUAUGGCUUGAUACAAUCCAAUUAUAUCCUGAAAUCUAUCAUUAUAGAUUUCCAUCCCAUGUUUAUAGACUAUGUCUCCCAUAUACAUUCUAUCGUUAUAGAAUGUUUAAAGUCAUAACUUUAACGAAGAAGUAUUAUUUUCAUAUCCAAAAUUAAUAUAUCAUAUAUGUGUAUAUAUAUAUUCAAAUUUAGGAACAUGAUUAACUCCCACUAAUCUUUUGUAAACCUAGUAAACAAAAGAUUCAUUUACAUCUUUAUGAGAAAUCAAUUGAUUUGAUCUUUCUCUCAUAAGACGCUUAUAGCUUUCAGUAGCUUGUUAAGAUCCAUGAUGGAAGGAUCUCUACAACUUACAUGUCUUGUGAUUCAUAGUUUUAGACAUAUAUUAUCAAGACUAUCUUAAUAAUGGUUUCGGAAAACCAUAUUAUGUCCAAACAUUGAAUCACCAUUUAGUUGUAGCUAGCAAUCUUCGAAUUAAUUGAAACCAAGAUUACGUCAAAGAUGGUUUCUUCCAAGUCAACCAUUCUCGUCAAAUAUCACCUCUAGGGCAUUUUCGUCAAUUCACGCUUUUAAAAUUUAUAAAAACGUAAAAUUAGGGACGGGUUGUCACAUACUACCCACCUAAAUUUGUGUUCCAACUUUGAUACACAUGACCAACAAUUUAAAUUUGAGAUGUACAAACUAUAUAGAUUUAUAUCUCAUUAAAAAAAAAAAAAAAAAAAACCGAAAAGUGAGCUAUACUUUUGAGAGUCAAAUAUAAGGCCUUUACCAGCAUUGGAUAAAAAAAAGUAUCAUAAGACUAAGAUUAUAUUUAUAUAUAUAGGAAGUCUUUAAAUGAAGGGAUUUAUUUUAUUUUAUUUUUAUAAAAAUAGGGAUUAGUUGUUGGGCCCACACUAUAUUGAAUUUUGACGAUCCUCACCGUUUAUUUUUCAAGUUUCACCUCAUAGAUCGUCCUUACAAAAUAUUAACCAAAUCGGAAAUAUAUGAGGAUCUUUUUUUUUUUUUUGAACAAAUGAUAUUAUGUAUACUAAGGAGAAGGGGGUGGGCUAAGCUGCACAAUGAAUUAGCAAUAAUGCAGUUCAAGACAUCUAAUUGAGUACAAAUAAAUUGACAAAGAUUUAGUUAUCUAAGAAACACUGAAAUUUCAUCAUGAUAAUUAAAUAGGCAAAUGAUUUUGGAUUAAAUUGAAUUUUUGGAAGGAUGAUCUAUGAAUUGAGACCUACAAAAUAAACGGUUAAGAUCAUUGAAACUCGACGCGGAGUGAGCCCUACAACUAGUCCCUAUUUUGACCUAAAAAUGAGAAUUCCUUUAAAUAAAGGGAACUUUAACGAAAAACUCCCGAAAAAACCACAUUUUUACACUAAAGAGUCAAUCCUGGUACUAGUCACUUUACCCUUUAUUUUGUUCUUAACGUUAAAACUCAUAGUUUUCAAGCCCUUUUCAUUAGUUUUUCUUUAAAUAAAGGGCCGUGUAUGUGUGUGUGUGUGUGUGAGAGAGAGACUGCACUACAGGUAUGCAUGCUCGUAUGAGAACAUGUCUGAAAAAAUAUGAAUAGAUGUAUUACUUGUAAUUAAUACUUGUCACAUUUAUGUAAAAUUAUAUGAAAUAGAAAAAUACAAGAAAUCUAGAGACAGCGCUACAAGAUCAUGGACCAGAAUAAUUACUACAGGUAAAACCUCACAUUAACUGCAGUAAACCCUUCAUAAAAAAGGAAUAAAAAAAUGGUAAAACUACGCACCAACAAAGAUAUAAUAAAAUAUCACUAUUGUUGUUAUGCUUGUAAGGCCCUGCAUAUCGCUCGAUGAGUGAUAAACAUGAAACCAGUUCAUAAAUCUACAAAGCAAAUGAUAUAAGAAUGAUAAUAAGAGAGAUUAAAUUCUUAAACCAAAUUUACAAAUUAAAUGAUAUGUUACCAAUAAAAGAUAAACACAUUAACCGACACAAUUAAUAUCUAAUCAUCUAUAAUCACAUUAUUUGAUUUAAGAAAUUUGGUCUUCCUAUCAUUACUUUAAUAAGAAACACUAAGAAAACUGGCCAGCUUUCCAGAAAUAAAACCCCACUUAUGCAAAAAUUUUGUUUUUAUUAAAUUAUAGAUUUGAACUCAAAACGCAGUAAGUUAACUUCUUAACA
This 4828-nucleotide long non-coding RNA is filed under the name Malus domestica (apple). RNAcentral's name for it is "long non-coding RNA (MDOM_LNC019397)". Lineage: Eukaryota; Viridiplantae; Streptophyta; Magnoliopsida; Rosales; Rosaceae. The record is from RNAcentral.